Molecule: non-coding RNA, 88 nt
Filed under: bovine gut metagenome
Source: RNAcentral
UUUGGGGGUGCCGCGCCGUUGUGUGUGGCUGAGAACAUACCCAUAGAAUCUGAUCCGGGUUAUACCGGCGUAGAGAACUAAACUUAUU